UUCAGAUUCUGGCUCAGAUUGAACGCUGGCGGGAUGCUUUACACACAUGCAAGUCGAACGGCAGCACGGACUUCGGUCUGGUGGCGAGUGGCGAACGGGUGAGUAAUGUAGGAACGUGCCUAGUAGCGGGGGAUAACUACGCGAAAGCGUAGCUAAUACCGCAUACGCCCUUCGGGGAAAGCGGGGACCUUCGGGCCUCGCACUAUUGAGUGGAUAUCGGAUUAGCUAGCUGGUGGGCAACGGCUCACCAAGGCGACGAUCCGUAGCUGGUUUGAGAGGACGACCAGCCACACUGGGACUGAGAGACACGGCCCAGACUCCUACGGGAGGCAGCAGUGGGGAAUUUUGGAUACCGGGGAAACCCUGAUCCAGCCAUCCCGCGUGUGCGAUGGAAGGCCUUCGUUAGGUUGUAAAGCACUUUUGGCAGGAAAGAACGGGCGGCUACCGAUAACACCCGUGCAACUGACGGUACUUGCAGUGAAUAAGCACCGGCUAACCAUGUUGCAGCCGCGGUAAUACGUGUAGGGGUGCAAGCGUUAAUCGGAAUUACUGGGCGUAAAAGCGUGCGCAGGCGGUUCGGAAAGAAAGAUGUGAAAUCCCGUGAGCUUAACUCUUGGAACUGCAUUUUAACUAUCGAGCUAGAGUGUGUCAGAGGGAGGUGGAAUUCCGCGUGUAGCAGUGAAAUGCGUAGAUAUGCGGAGGAACACCGAUGGCGAAGGCAGCCUCCUGGAAUAACACUGACGCUCAUGCACGAAAGCGUGGGGAGCAAACAGGAUUAGAUAAUUCUGGUAGUCCACGCCCUCCUAAACGAUGUCAACUAGCUGUUUGGGUGCCCGGGCCUUUGGUAGCGCAGCUAAUGCGAAGUUGACCGCCUGGGGAGUACGGUCGCAAGAUCAGAAACCAAAGGAAUUGACGGGGACUCCGCACAAGCGGUGGAUGAUGUAGGGAUUAAUUCGGAUGCAACGCGAAAAACCUACCUACCCCUGAUAUGUCUGGAAUCCCGAAGAGAUUUGGGAGUGCUCGUAAGGAGAACCGGAACACAGGUGCUGGCAUUGCUGUCGUCAGCUCGUGUCGAGAUGUUGGGUUAAGUUCCGCAACGAGCGCAACCCUUGUCAUUAGUUGCUACGAAAGGGCACUCUAAUGAGACUUCGCCGGUGACAAACCGGAGGAAGGUGGGAUGACGCCAAGUCUCGCGGCUCCCAUGGGUAGGGCUUCGCCAUCGUCAUAAUGGUCGGGACAGGUCGCCAACCCGCGGGGGGAGUCAAUCCUAGAAACCCGAUCGUAGUCCGAUCGCAGUCUGCAACCUCGACUGCGUGAAGUCGGAAUCGCUAGUAAUCGCGGAUCAGCAUGUCGCGGUAACAUGUUCCCGGCCUGCACACACCGCCCGCUUCAAUUGGGAGUGGGUUUUACCAGAAGUAGUUAGCUCAACCGGGUAGAGGGCGAUUACCACGGUAGGAUUCAUGACUGGGUGAAGUCGUAACAAGGUAA
RNAcentral lists this ribosomal RNA (1488 nucleotides) under uncultured Bordetella sp. RNAcentral's name for it is "partial 16S-23S ribosomal RNA intergenic spacer". It matches the Rfam family "Bacterial small subunit ribosomal RNA". Lineage: Bacteria; Pseudomonadati; Pseudomonadota; Betaproteobacteria; Burkholderiales; Alcaligenaceae. The record is from RNAcentral.